RNAcentral lists this long non-coding RNA (1364 nucleotides) under Dunaliella salina. RNAcentral's name for it is "long non-coding RNA (DSAL_LNC000267)". Lineage: Eukaryota; Viridiplantae; Chlorophyta; Chlorophyceae; Chlamydomonadales; Dunaliellaceae. The record is from RNAcentral.
CGUCAUCAUUAGCAUCACACAGAUCGCACUUAGGAUCAAUAUCUUCAUUCCAGUAGUUGAGCUCAAUCCUCAAAAGAUGAACACGUAACCGAAAGCGGGCAAAACUGUGUAAAAUAUGUGUGAGUAGAUCCAAAUGGAAGUACUUAGGCAGACGACAUGGGGAGAAGGUAGCAUGAGCGUCACGUUGUGGAAGGGCACACCAAUGAUGGUAAGUGAACGUUUUACUGUUCGUCUCAGGUUCUCGCGGCUGACGAGCAGUAAAAAAGGGUUGCUGCAAAAAUGCCAAAUGACGUUUCCCAAGUUCUACAACAAGUUGACUCAGAUCCAGAGGACUGCCAUUGAGAAUAUGAUGAUGGUAAGAUGGAGUAUGCCUAAGACCUUGUGUACCAAGCAAGAGAUGAGAAAUCCAGCAUGCAGGAUGGAAUUGGCUGAGUGAAAUGUCUGCCUGAAAAACCUUACAAAGGAGAGGGCUAUUACAAAAAAUGAGAUUGUUGUAAAGGCGUGCACAUGCUCGAAGCCAAUUCAAUUGCAUGGGUUCCAAGCCACAUUCCCGUAACACACUCCAUGAAGGUGUAGAAUUSCUGACCCCAAGUAUGGUGCGUAAAAAUCGUAAGAGCCACUUCUGAAUGCAAUUUUCCAUCUCUUGGCCCUGUUGCAGAUAGGAAGUGGCCCAAAUCUGAGAAGCGUACAUGCCGGCUGGGAUGACAUAAGUUUUGAAUAACCAGAGGUACGCAUGUAAACGAUGAGAGAGACCAUGUUGUUGAAUAAAAGUACGUAUUCUGGUCAUGCUUGCCAGGCAAGGCUUGAUAGCCUCCUCUGCAGCUUUGUUCAGAUUUAGUUUCUUGUCACAAAACAUGCCUAAGUACUUAAAAUGCUCAKAGAAAGGCAGUYCCUCAUUGUUGUACAGGAGAGUAGSCAUAUUGUGUCCUUGAGAAUUAAAGCACACCACAACAGRUUUYUGUGUGUUGACGGUCAGGAAUUUGUCACGGGAGUAUGUGGAAAGACAAUUCAGCAUUUGCUGCAAACUGGACGGAGAGUUAGAAGUGAGGCACAGGUCGUCGGCAUAGAGGAGAUGAGAGACAGUAAAGUUGGGAAUUCCUGUACACGCGGCNUGCUGCAAACUGGACGGAGAGUUAGAAGUGAGGCACAGGUCGUCGGCAUAGAGGAGAUGAGAGACAGUAAAGUUGGGAAUUCCUGUACACGCGGCUGGGAUAUCAUGAAAGAUGUUAGGGAUGUCAUUCAGGUACAAAGAAAAGAGCAAAGGAGAUAAGGGACAACCUUGUUUGACACCAUGUGUUGGUUUGAUACGCGCGUGUUUGUCUCCAUCAACCAAAAUGUAUUCAUCAUCUUGAUACAGAUUCAUG